CAGAUUCUGCAGUCUGGAAGAUAUGAUUCUGCGUUUGGUUUUCUCGUAUCUUCAAAAUUGUGGAUGCCACAGAUUUCGUACUUUCUGGGGGCAGAAGAGAGCGUGCUCUUAUAGUCUCUGAGAGCUAGGCUCCAAAAAAGACGGACGAACAGACAGGCUACAUCGACUCGGCAAAUUGAUGAUGAUCAAGAAUAUAUAUACUUUAUGAUGAAGAUUAUACAGCGCUAGAACUCAGAGGUACCAACGGAGAACUUGAAGGCUCUGAACAAUGGAAGAUCACUACCCAACGGUUUGGGGCAGUGCGUCAUUAUCCAAAUUAACAAGGAGGUUAAGGAUCUGCUCUACCCCAGCUUCAGGAAGAUGACGUGGGACAUGGUAGCGUAUAGCUGCCACCGUGCAGUCAGGCGAGUAAGACCUCGGGCUGGAGACCAUCGUCGAGUCAGUCCAGGGUUGUGUGAUAGAGGACUCGGAACAGGAGGAAGACGGCACCUGACGAUAGUAGUCAAUCCGUUAUGUGCAGCACGGAGGACCUGACAGUAGUGAUGCUGUAAAGUGAGGAAAAGCACCUUUUGGCGACUUUAUGCUACCCUCUACAAAAGAUAACGAGGGGGAACAUUGUGAGUUGCUGCGGACACCGCAACUCUACAGUUAUACCCGAUAUUAAGUCAGUAUGGCUCACCUCCG
Long non-coding RNA from Drosophila pseudoobscura, 684 nucleotides. RefSeq lists it as uncharacterized. The record is from RefSeq and is a predicted model, not a curated record. Lineage: Eukaryota; Metazoa; Arthropoda; Insecta; Diptera; Drosophilidae. The transcript has 3 exons.